This 777-nucleotide ribosomal RNA is filed under the name uncultured Streptococcus sp. RNAcentral's name for it is "bacterial SSU rRNA". It matches the Rfam family "Bacterial small subunit ribosomal RNA", at positions 28 to 776 of the family's 1533-position model. Lineage: Bacteria; Bacillati; Bacillota; Bacilli; Lactobacillales; Streptococcaceae. The record is from RNAcentral.
GACGAACGCUGGCGGCGUGCCUAAUACAUGCAAGUGGAACGCAACUUUUCUCCCGUUUCUUCGGAAACACCUGAGAAGUUGAGUCGCGAACGGGUGAGUAACGCGUAGGUAACCUACCUCUUAGCGGGGGAUAACUAUUGGAAACGAUAGCUAAUACCGCAUAACAGUGUUUAACACAUGUUAAACAUUUGAAAGAAGCAACUACUUCACUAGGAGAUGGACCUGCGUUGUAUUAGCUAGUUGGUAGGGUAACGGCCUACCAAGGCUCCGAUACAUAGCCGACCUGAGAGGGUGAUCGGCCACACUGGGACUGAGACACGGCCCAGACUCCUACGGGAGGCAGCAGUAGGGAAUCUUCGGCAAUGGGGGCAACCCUGACCGAGCAACGCCGCGUGAGUGAAGAAGGUUUUCGGAUCGUAAAGCUCUGUUGUAAGAGAAGAACGGGUAUGAGAGUGGAAAAUUCAUACUGUGACGGUAUCUUACCAGAAAGGGACGGCUAACUACGUGCCAGCAGCCGCGGUAAUACGUAGGUCCCGAGCGUUGUCCGGAUUUAUUGGGCGUAAAGCGAGCGCAGGUGGUUACAUAAGUCUGAAGUAAAAGGCAGUGGCUCAACCAUUGUAUGCUUUGGAAACUGUGUAACUUGAGUGCAGAAGGGGAGAGUGGAAUUCCAUGUGUAGCGGUGAAAUGCGUAGAUAUAUGGAGGAACACCGGUGGCGAAAGCGGCUCUCUGGUCUGUAACUGACACUGAAGGCUCGAAAGCNNNGGGGAGCAAACAGG